Molecule: long non-coding RNA, 241 nt
Filed under: Lathyrus oleraceus (garden pea)
Lineage: Eukaryota; Viridiplantae; Streptophyta; Magnoliopsida; Fabales; Fabaceae
Description: Pisum sativum (pea) long non-coding RNA (PSAT_LNC016594)
Source: RNAcentral
UCUUAUAAUGAACCCCAACAUCUUACCGGACCGCACUCUGAUAGUGCUCUUGUUCAAAUUCAACCUCAGUUUGAAUUGCCUCGCCCAGUCAACCGACUUGUCCCGGUCUACCAAAUGCCCCACUUCUGCUUGGGACUUUGCUAUCAUGUCAUAGCAUCUGAUUCCAUGAUGAAUCAUAUCAUGAAACAAAGUCACCCUGAUACGCGGCAUCGGCGCCCUGCUUCUCAAGAGGACAGUCUUC